Molecule: ribosomal RNA, 434 nt
Filed under: Acinetobacter baumannii
Lineage: Bacteria; Pseudomonadati; Pseudomonadota; Gammaproteobacteria; Moraxellales; Moraxellaceae
Description: bacterial SSU rRNA
Rfam family: Bacterial small subunit ribosomal RNA
Source: RNAcentral
AUCCCUAGCUGGUCUGAGAGGAUGACCAGCCACACUGGAACUGAGACACGGUCCAGACUCCUACGGGAGGCAGCAGUGGGGAAUAUUGCACAAUGGGCGCAAGCCUGAUGCAGCCAUGCCGCGUGUGUGAAGAAGGCCUUCGGGUUGUAAAGCACUUUCAGCGGGGAGGAAGGCGUUAAGGUUAAUAACCUUGGCGAUUGACGUUACCCGCAGAAGAAGCACCGGCUAACUCCGUGCCAGCAGCCGCGGUAAUACGGAGGGUGCAAGCGUUAAUCGGAAUUACUGGGCGUAAAGCGCACGCAGGCGGUCUGUCAAGUCGGAUGUGAAAUCCCCGGGCUCAACCUGGGAACUGCAUUCGAAACUGGCAGGCUAGAGUCUUGUAGAGGGGGGUAGAAUUCCAGGUGUAGCGGUGAAAUGCGUAGAGAUCUGGAGGA